Microtus ochrogaster (prairie vole) is the source of this 2828-nucleotide RNA transcript. RefSeq lists it as uncharacterized. The record is from RefSeq and is a predicted model, not a curated record. Lineage: Eukaryota; Metazoa; Chordata; Mammalia; Rodentia; Cricetidae.
CGUCCGCCCGCCCAGCUCCUCCGCUCGCCGACCCCGCCCGCCUCGCGCCCGCCCCUCAGCUCCUGGCCCUCGCCCCACCAGCUCCUUUAGCGCCCCGCUACCCGGGGGUCCCCAACUUCUCUCCUCCUGUAGCCCGUGUGUCCCGAGAUGCCCCGUGAUCCAGCGCCCCCCCCCGUCGCCACACCCUCACAGUCACCCCCACCCUCUGCUACCCUCAUCCAGAUCCCUCCCCUCCAGCCCUGUGCCUUGCCUGCUCCCCAACAGUUUCUGUUAGUCCCCCCUCCUAUCCCCAUCUUGCACGCCCCUCCAUCCUCCCACCCACGGAGGUACUGUCUGUAGAUUUCUUCUCUGUGUCUCACACACAUUUUAUUUGAAAGCAUUGAAUAAGUAGCUCAGGCUCUGGCUCAGACUUAAGGGGCUGAUGAACUACGCCCCCACCGCAGCCAGCUUUCUCUGCGCCCCAGUCCAGCCAGCUCCAGACGUCGACGUCGGGCUGAGAUUCUGCUAUCACGUAGGCAGUGAGAUUGGGGGAGACGCGAUGCUUCCCUUGAAACCAUCAAGACAGAUGUGCGCGGGUUUUUAGGGUGUACCCCCAAGGCAAGCAUAUCUGGGGCGUCUCCAGGCAGAUGCUAACCCUCGGGGUCAACCAGGAGGCUGCAGCUUUGCGAGACACCACCGCCCAGAAUCCAGGUCCGGGUGGAGGGGUGGUCGGCACCGCGCCCUAGGGGGAAUGUUCUCCCGACUUCGGAGAGGAAGAAAGGAAGAAAUGCACCCUAGGAAAAUGGGCUUCGACUUUUGUGUCUGUGCUUUCAUGGAAGUCACCAGUUCUCUGGUUGCUUAAGAUGCCACUCAGAAGCGCACCGAGCCAGACUGUGGCUAGCCUUGCUAAAUCCUUGGUCGGCGACCACUUAGGGUAGUCCCGGGAUAAACAAUAGCCAUCAAGGUUAGGAGAUAUAUUCGCCAUGCUUACCUGUUGACAAAAAGAAAAAAUGCAAAAUAAAAUUUAAAAUUUGGAAAAUAAUACAUGGUAACAUCUUUUAGAACCAAGGCUUUUCAGACAAAAGCCAAUUUUACCAGCCCGAAAGCCACGGAGCCCUGGAACUACCGUUCGCGACACUUUGGCGCCCUCUGGCUGUGUCAGGAUUGUUUGCUUGUUCUGCUUCGUCCCAAACGAAGAGGGGCAAUGGAAAUGCUUGCUGUUCUCUUGGCUGGAUCUACCCUCAUGAGAGGAGCACGAACUGAGAAGGACCUUGUUCUCCACGGUCGCGAUGGCAAAACAUAAUCAUAUUUAGAGAGACAAACGCCAAAGGGUCUCACUCAUAAAGAUCCAUGCCUCUCCAUCUGCCUCUCUAUCACGGGGCUGGGAUUAAAGCUUUCUCCUGCAAUAGAUGGGAAGCCAUGCAGAGACUCAGAGGCGGACAGUGGGCAGAGAAUGAAGCCUUGGAACACUCAGUCCUAAAUGGGAUGUCUUCAUCAGAUCCACCCCUCCCGACUCAGAGAAGUAAUAACACUGAGAUAAUGGUUCUUUCUGAGACAAUGCAACAUGCAGAGCCUGACGCUAACAGCUUUGGGGACUACACCAACUCUACUGAACGUCUGCUUUUUUGACUUUGGUUGCACCUGUUUUUACUUUCCUCUUCUUGUACUUUGCUUUUGAGGCAAAGCUAUCUUCUACGUGUCCCAGGCUGUCCUGGAACUCAGCCCAUCCCCACCACAGCCUCCCAAGCUCUGGGAUCGUACACGUGUGUCCACACACCAGUUUCUUCCCUGCAGUUUAAUUAGACAGCAUUUUAAGUAUUUCAAUAUUUUGUCUUCAUAAAAAUUGAGAACUGAAUGACAUUCUUAAACUUGUUUACUUUUGCCACCAAGAAAUCAAGAGGCUCAUAAUAAUAACAGCUAUCUGAGAGAAAUGUUAUUCAAAAUACUGGCUGCCUGUGUUGGUCAUUUUGCUAUCAUUUUAACAAAUAUCUGACAUAUUGAACUUAUAGGGAGGCAGGUUGUACUCCCACGGUUUUGAAGGUGUCAGUCCAGGAUCAGCUGUCCCAGAUGGGUUGGGGUGUGGGACAGAACAGAACCAUUUGCACCUCAUAACUAGGAAGCAAAGGAAAUAGAGGAAAAUCCCGGGGUACCACAAUACUCCUUGAAGGGCAUAAAUUCAGUGACCUUCCAGAGGUCAACCUCUUAAACAUGCCACUACUUCUCAUUAGUGUCAGAGGCAGGUAGCCACACCUUAACACACAGGCCUUUGGCACUGCCCAUCUCUGGUGGAGAUCUGAAUUCCCCGCCCACUGAUAACAGACUUUAGGUUGACACUGAUACCUGUAUGACUUGAGAUGUUCCUCCACGUGAUAAAACCUGCCUGCACCACUGAGGUCGGGAGUGACCGUGUGUCUUAUUCUCAUCAUUGAAUCUAGGAGAGACAUUAAACAUAUCACCGCUGAGUACAAGUUCAAGAACAAGCUGAUGGUGGCUCAUCCCCUCUCUUCCUUUCACCUCAAGACCUACCAGCAUCAACUCAGAUGGGCUCCACCUCAGAUACCCAGGUACACAGUUCAGUGAUGGACAUAUAUGGGCAAGAAAUAAAUGUGAAUUGCUGAACCCUGGGGCAAGUCUUUACUGAAGCAUAACUUCCUGUAAAUUGACUAAUAAUGCGUCUUUUAAGGUGAAUGUGAAGACAAGUGGGUCAACAUUUGUAAAAUAUUUAUUCCCAUACAUGAUAUAUUUUAAAUUUUAAAAAAAGUUUUUAUAUAUUUUGACCAUGUUUUCCUCUCUCUCAGAACCUUCCAGAUCCCUACAUACCUAACUUCCUGCUAGUUCUUUCUCUUUCA